This 461-nucleotide ribosomal RNA is filed under the name uncultured bacterium. RNAcentral's name for it is "partial 16S ribosomal RNA". It matches the Rfam family "Bacterial small subunit ribosomal RNA", at positions 338 to 795 of the family's 1533-position model. The record is from RNAcentral.
CCUACGGGAGGCAGCAGUGAGGAAUAUUGGUCAAUGGGCGCGAGCCUGAACCAGCCAAGUCGCGUGAGGGAUGACGGCCCUACGGGUUGUAAACCUCUUUUGCCGGGGAGCAACGGGCGCCACGUGUGGCGCCACUGAGAGUACCCGGAGAAAAAGCAUCGGCUAACUCCGUGCCAGCAGCCGCGGUAAUACGGAGGAUGCGAGCGUUAUCCGGAUUUAUUGGGUUUAAGGGGUGCGUAGGCGGCCUUUUAAGUCAGCGGUGAAAGUCUGUGGCUCAACCAUAGAAUUGCCGUUGAAAUUGGGGGGCUUGAGUAUGUUUGAGGCAGGCGGAAUGCGUGGUGUAGCGGUGAAAUGCUUAGAUAUCACGCAGAACCCCGAUGGCGAAGGCAGCCUGCCAAGCCAUGACUGACGCUGAUGCACGAAAGCGUGGGGAUCGAACAGGAUUAGAUACCCCAGUAGUC